AAAUGACAGGACAUCCGGUGACACAUGGCAGUAUUAUUUCCCUGCUUAUUAAGACUAACCUGAUGGUUCCUCAAUGAAUGAUGUUUCACGGGCAAUACACCAUGUUAGGGUAUCUAUCCACAGGCAAGGAACCCUGUUUGAUUUCUGGCUAACCUUGCUGCAUAUAAUGGUAACAUUCACCUAGCAAUGCUCGCUUUCUGAUUCUCUUUGGAGAAAAAAGUAAGUUAUAUUCAUGCAGGCUCUCCAGAAGCCCCAAAACACUUCACAG
This is a long non-coding RNA of Carcharodon carcharias (great white shark), 268 nucleotides long. RefSeq lists it as uncharacterized. The transcript has 3 exons. NCBI's taxonomy places the organism in Eukaryota, Metazoa, Chordata, Chondrichthyes, Lamniformes, Lamnidae. The record is from RefSeq and is a predicted model, not a curated record.